CCGGGGCGGGACGGCGGCAGCGCGGGGGCCGAGCGCAGGCUCCCUACUGCCCCUGCCUGGCGCUCCGGGGGCGUGUGUGCGGAGCGGGCAAAGCGGGGGCGGAGGGCAGUGCGGGGAGAGAAAAUUCCGGGAAAAGGAGAAGAGAGAAAAGGAAACAGAAAGAGAGGGAAUAGCGAGGGGACGGGCAGGCUGGGGUUGGGGGGGGGGGGCGUCUAGGCUCCUCGCUUCUCUCCCCGUCCCCUGUCCGAGCCCCUGGGUCUCUGUGCGCUGCCCUCCCCCUGGCUCGCCCCGUCCGGCUCGGCCUCUCGCUCCCUUCUCCUCCCUCCGUCGCUCACACACAAACAAAAUGGCGGCUGUUGUUCCUUCGCUCUCCCGAGCCCUCGGAGGGAAGCGGCGGUGGCGGCGGCGGCCGGAAAUGAGCCAAGAGAACACGGGGGGGCGGGGCCGCCACCAGGGGCGUGGUCAGCCCUGCGGGCGGGGACACGGCGGGGCGGGGCCCGGCGGCGCUAGCGCACACAAUGGAACGCGGGGCGCCGGCGGGGUGGGGGGAGCGGCACCGCCCCAGCCGCCGUCACGAGACCGCGUUUAUCCAAUCAGCGCUCGCAUCUCUCCGGCCUCUUCCGCAAACUCCACUGGCCCCGCCCCUUAAAGGCGAAGGGUUUUUCCCUUAAAAAAAAAAGAAAAAAAAAAAAAGGCUCCUUCUUCCUGCCCCGCCCCACACGCCCUUAUCUGUCGGCCCAAAAGUGCGCGGCGUAGGCCCAGGGGAGCUUGGUCAGACCCUGUAGCUUCCACGGUCUGCUACACAACCCGAUGUCUGCUGCCCGGCCCGGUGGGCUGAGGCGCCGGCGGGAAGAGCGCGGUUCUUUCGCCGCCGCCCUCCCUCCCUCCUUCCUUCCCUACAGGCCGCCGGCUCCCGGCCGGUUCCCCGCUGCGCCGGCGGGCGGGGCGUUCCUGCCGGCGGUCCCGGGCCGUGCUGCGCCACAGACAUGGCAGCCCGGGCCGGCAGUCCCCGGCCAGCGAGCAAAGGGGCCGCGCAACCGGGCCUGCACCCCGAGGCCCCCAAGGUGGGCGAGUGUAUGUGCGAAUCACACAAUCGCAGAAUAAAUUAGAUUAGAAAAGACCUCUGAGAUCAUCGAGUCCAACCUGUGACCGAACGCCACCAUGUCAGUCAGACCAUGGCACUGAGUGCCACGUCCAGUCUUUCGUUAAACACCCCCAGGGACGGAGACUCCUCUACCUACCCGGGCAGCUCCCAAUCCCUAAUUGCCCUUUCUGUGAAUAAAUUCCUCCUAAUCUGGGGGCGCUCUCUACUGCCCAUCCCCGGGGUGCCCAGAGCUGCCUCAGACUCCCGUCGGCGUUACAAAACAAACAAAAACCCCCAAAUCCCACACUUUUACGCCAAAGGGUACAUAAGCCCCUCGCUCUCUGCCAGAGCCCUGCGUGUGCCGGGGAUGGCGCAGGGCACGGUAUGAGGGAUCGCAGAGUCCUGACAGCCCUCCCGCCCCUCCGAGGGGUGUCGCAGGCGCAGGUGACACUGGCGCGGUCCUUCGCCAGCCCUCUCAGCCCCCGAGCCGUCCCAGAGGUUACGGGCCUGCCACGAGUUCUUCUCAAAUCUCUGAGGGCUCAUCCAUGAGGAAUGCCCCAUCCCGGCAUUUCCCUUCGGUGCGUUUGGACUCCGCCGGGCCGCACACCAUUACGAGAUAGGAGUGGAAGGGAAAUGCAGGCACGUGCGUGUUUUUGACGGAGAAUCAGGGGGUGUUGAUCCAAAACCGGACAUUUGCGAGGAGGACUUCCCUUGCCGCUCACCCUCAGGGCUGGGCUCUCUGCAAUCCACGUAAGAGCUGCAGCAGGUAUUUGGGAAGAGCCUAGACUAAACACAGAAUCCAUACUGCAGCCUACAAGAGGAGCCUACAGACAGGAGGAGAUUCACAGCCCUUAUUUCUUAAUUUUUUUUUACUUGCUACAACAUUUUUCUAUAUGCUGAACUGCAGCGUGGUGUUUGAUGUCUGCAAUCAAAAUGCAACAAGAGGGAGAAGCCAUCCCAGCAUAGUUAGCUCCUGCAAGAAAAUUCUUUAAAAAUUAUUUUCACCAUGGUGAGCAUCUUCCACAGAGGAGUGCAUCAGCUUCCAGAAGGUGAGACAUGUGGAAGAUUCCCUGUUGCCAUGCAAAGGAACCGAGCCAAGGACUAACAACAGUGGUCUGACUCUACAAUAUGAAGGGGGAGCACGUCUGUGCUUGCACAGAAGUAUCCCACAUCAGUGCAAAAUAGGCCUGUGGAUUCCUCCAUCCCUCCUGGGUAUUUCAAUUAAAAGCAGAGAAGGAAGUCCAAGAAAAUGCCUAAAAUGGCUUGAGUCCUUCCUCACGAUCUGGAAAUGGAAGUCUGCGGUGACUAACUCCAGCCCAGCCACCAAACCCCUCCCUCCCCGACUCUGCAUUGCUCUGUUCAUUCCCAGCUUCUCUCCUGCGUUUGCAAACAGUCGGCAGUGGAAACAGUGAAGCAGCCUGGCUUCGAACGCCAGCACCACACCAGUGUUCUUCAGGUCUCAAAUAGAAAUUUGGGCUGCUGAAGACACUGAGACCAUCUCCCAUCCCCACUGCUUGAGAUGUUUGUGUUGCUUUCCCGGGCCUGCCAACAAGAAAGCUGAGGUGGAGGAUGAGCCUGAUGUCCUGGAAAAGCCGCAGAGUCAGACUGAGUGAGCAGGGGUGUGGCAGAGCUUUUCAGCUCCUCUUGCUGCACACAGCCUUUUCACAAAGGCAGAGCUGGGACUCGUCUGUAUUUCACUUCCUGCUGUCCUUCUGAGCACCAUUCUGCACGCAAAUGUGCCCAUGGACUAAAUACCUUGAAACUCAUACUUUCCAGGAGAUGCACAUUACCUUGUCUUCUUCAAGCCUCUGUGUGGCUUAUACUGCAGCUGAUCCCAAAGCAUGAGCAAGAGAAAGAAUGGUGGUGGAAAUCCAAGGAAAGAAGGAAGCUAGGGCAGCUCUUUUAUGUUUCCUCCUAGAGUUGCCAUGGACAUACACGGAUGAGGGGAAGCACAUGUAUCCAUGUCUGUCACUCACAGCAGUUUGGAAUGGGGGUAAGAGGACCUGUCACCCCAAGCCAUUUUCCUGACUGAGCUGUUGGAGAUCUUUGGUGCUGCCUCCCACAGCCACCUCCUGGCUUAGUAGAGCUGGUGGCACCAGUCUCCUCCAGCAGUGCCUGCAAGUGUAUGGGAAGCAGGUGGAGGCAAGGCUGAGGAAAUGGGGAGGUGCAGAGCAGGGUGGAUGGACCAAGUGUUCAGAACAGAGUGAGAAAAUUGACAUCCCAUAGAGGGAACCCUUUCUUCUCUUGGAAGGCACUUUGAGGGGCUGUUUUAAAAGUUUCGUCCAGUGGACUGAAGAAGAAGAAGACAUGCUUGAGAUACAAGCACAUAUUGCUUUCAGGACCAUUGCUGAGUGUGGCAGGAUAUGAAGACCUGGCGAGCUAUCCCUCCUGUGUCCAAUGGAGAGAGGCUGGAAAGCUGCUAAAAAAGGGAAAGAACAAGCCAAUGCCCUGUUGUUGUGAAGGAGUCAAGUAGCAGAGAAACAAAACAGAACUUGCAACACCUUGACUUCUGGGAUUGAAUGCAAUGUCAGCCCAGGUGAACCCAAAAUCACCCCACUAACACCCUCCCUCAGACUGCCGAGGAAGGGCACCGCUGGUACCUUGGAUCUCCAUGGGAACUAUAUCAGAGAGAGGGGAAAUAAAAGAGGAGAGCAGAGAACAGACCAGAGAAAAGUGGACUUUUCAUCUUGCAAUCUGUGCAGAAUACGUACUUUUGGAACUCCCAUUCCCGGUUGUCCAGCGGACAUACUUGGCGAGUUUUGAGCCAGCGAGAGAUGCAGUGG
Molecule: long non-coding RNA, 3867 nt
Organism: Haemorhous mexicanus (house finch)
Lineage: Eukaryota; Metazoa; Chordata; Aves; Passeriformes; Fringillidae
Exons: 7
Source: RefSeq, a predicted model, not a curated record